CCUACGGGGGGCAGCAGUGGGGAAUAUUGCGCAAUGGGCGAAAGCCUGACGCAGCGACGCCGCGUGAGGGAUGAAGGUCUUCGGAUCGUAAACCUCUGUCAGCAGGGAAGAACGGUCACUGUGCUAAUCAGCAGUGAAUUGACGGUACCUGCAAAGGAAGCACCGGCUAACUCCGUGCCAGCAGCCGCGGUAAUACGGAGGGUGCGAGCGUUAAUCGGAAUUACUGGGCGUAAAGCGCUCGUAGGAGGUAUGUCAAGUCAAGGGUGAAAUCCCCGCGCUCAACGUGGGAACUGCCUUUGAAACUGGCAAACUGGAGUGUGUGAGAGGAUAGUGGAAUUCCAGGUGUAGGAGUGAAAGCCGUAGAUAUCUGGAGGAACAUCAGUGGCGAAGGCGACUAUCUGGCACAUAACUGACGCUGAGGAGCGAAAGCGUGGGUAGCAAACAGGAUUAGAUACCCUAGUAGUC
Molecule: ribosomal RNA, 465 nt
Filed under: uncultured bacterium
Lineage: Bacteria
Description: partial 16S ribosomal RNA
Rfam family: Bacterial small subunit ribosomal RNA
Source: RNAcentral